GAGGAUGGAGCUCAGUUGGUAGAGUGUUAGCCUUGCAAGCACAAGGCCCUGGGUUCAGUCCCCAGCACCACA
Molecule: transfer RNA, 72 nt
Filed under: Marmota monax (woodchuck)
Lineage: Eukaryota; Metazoa; Chordata; Mammalia; Rodentia; Sciuridae
Rfam family: tRNA
About the family: Transfer RNA (tRNA) molecules are approximately 80 nucleotides in length. Their secondary structure includes four short double-helical elements and three loops (D, anti-codon, and T loops). Further hydrogen bonds mediate the characteristic L-shaped molecular structure. tRNAs have two regions of fundamental functional importance: the anti-codon, which is responsible for specific mRNA codon recognition, and the 3' end, to which the tRNAs corresponding amino acid is attached (by aminoacyl-tRNA synthetases). tRNAs cope with the degeneracy of the genetic code in two manners: having more than one tRNA (with a specific anti-codon) for a particular amino acid; and 'wobble' base-pairing, i.e. permitting non-standard base-pairing at the 3rd anti-codon position.
Source: Rfam by way of RNAcentral